RNAcentral lists this ribosomal RNA (840 nucleotides) under uncultured Pseudomonas sp. RNAcentral's name for it is "bacterial SSU rRNA". It matches the Rfam family "Bacterial small subunit ribosomal RNA", at positions 60 to 895 of the family's 1533-position model. Lineage: Bacteria; Pseudomonadati; Pseudomonadota; Gammaproteobacteria; Pseudomonadales; Pseudomonadaceae. The record is from RNAcentral.
AGUCGAGCGGUAGAGAGAAGCUUGCUUCUCUUGAGAGCGGCGGACGGGUGAGUAAUACCUAGGAAUCUGCCUGAUAGUGGGGGAUAACGUUCGGAAACGGACGCUAAUACCGCAUACGUCCUACGGGAGAAAGCAGGGGACCUUCGGGCCUUGCGCUAUCAGAUGAGCCUAGGUCGGAUUAGCUAGUUGGUGAGGUAAUGGCUCACCAAGGCUACGAUCCGUAACUGGUCUGAGAGGAUGAUCAGUCACACUGGAACUGAGACACGGUCCAGACUCCUACGGGAGGCAGCAGUGGGGAAUAUUGGACAAUGGGCGAAAGCCUGAUCCAGCCAUGCCGCGUGUGUGAAGAAGGUCUUCGGAUUGUAAAGCACUUUAAGUUGGGAGGAAGGGCAGUAAAUUAAUACUUUGCUGCUUUGACGUUACCGACAGAAUAAGCACCGGCUAACUCUGUGCCAGCAGCCGCGGUAAUACAGAGGGUGCAAGCGUUAAUCGGAAUUACUGGGCGUAAAGCGCGCGUAGGUGGUUUGUUAAGUUGAAUGUGAAAUCCCCGGGCUCAACCUGGGAACUGCAUCCAAAACUGGCAAGCUAGAGUAUGGUAGAGGGUAGUGGAAUUUCCUGUGUAGCGGUGAAAUGCGUAGAUAUAGGAAGGAACACCAGUGGCGAAGGCGACUACCUGGACUGAUACUGACACUGAGGUGCGAAAGCGUGGGGAGCAAACAGGAUUAGAUACCCUGGUAGUCCACGCCGUAAACGAUGUCAACUAGCCGUUGGGAGUCUUGAACUCUUAGUGGCGCAGCUAACGCAUUAAGUUGACCGCCUGGGGAGUACGGCCGCAAGGUU